UGGUGGCUAUAGCAAGGAGGUCACACCUGUUCCCAUGCCGAACACAGAAGUUAAGCUCCUUAGCGUCGAUGGUAGUCGAA
This 80-nucleotide ribosomal RNA is filed under the name Staphylococcus aureus M0489. Lineage: Bacteria; Bacillati; Bacillota; Bacilli; Caryophanales; Staphylococcaceae. The record is from RNAcentral.